Molecule: ribosomal RNA, 476 nt
Filed under: uncultured organism
Description: partial 16S ribosomal RNA
Rfam family: Bacterial small subunit ribosomal RNA
Source: RNAcentral
GUACACUCCUACGGGAGGCAGCAGUGGGGAAUUUUGAACAAUGGGCGAAAGCCUGAUCCAGCAAUGCCGCGUGAGUGAAGAAGGCCUUCGGGUUGUAAAGCUCUUUUGUCAGGGAAGAAACGGUGAAAGCUAAUAUCUUUUGCUAAUGACGGUACCUGAAGAAUAAGCACCGGCUAACUACGUGCCAGCAGCCGCGGUAAUACGUAGGGUGCAAGCGUUAAUCGGAAUUACUGGGCGUAAAGCGUGCGCAGGCGGUUUUGUAAGUCUGAUGUGAAAUCCCCGGGCUCAACCUGGGAAUUGCAUUGGAGACUGCAAGGCUAGAAUCUGGCAGAGGGGGGUAGAAUUCCACGUGUAGCAGUGAAAUGCGUAGAUAUGUGGAGGAACACCGAUGGCGAAGGCAGCCCCCUGGGUCAAGAUUGACGCUCAUGCACGAAAGCGUGGGGAGCAAACAGGAUUAGAUACCCUGGUAGUCCCAU